CCGGGACGUGCCGUGUGGCACGCUACCCGCCGCGCGCGCAUCCUGUCCCCCGCCCUCGGAAUCCCAGCACGGGGGCCGAGCCCCGAGCUACAUUCCUCCUCCUCCUUCUUCGCCACCCAAAGACUCACGCAUACACACAUUUUUCUUUCGUAUCUGCUGUCUCAGCCUCCCUCGGGCCAAUUUGGGCCCACUUUUUGGCAUCCCCUAACAAGAAGUCCUCAGAGAUUUUUACUACUCAACAUGUGUGCGUCCCACUCAGAUGUAUUGUGUUCUUUCUGUUCACCCUCUACUUCCCAUUCCAUUUCUUCCUCUGACUUAGGGUUAGAAUGGCCCAAUGAUCCUACAACUUUUUGAUGCUAUUUCAUUUGAUUCCUCUACUGUCUAAAUCACAAGUUGGCUAACUUUACUUACUGUAAGGGAUCAGAUAGCAAAUAGUUUAGGCCUUGUGGGCCAUUCAAUCUGUCAUAACUACCCACUCUGACCAUAUGUAGUGCAAAAGCAGCCCUUGACAAUAUAUAAAUGAAUGAACGUGAAUGUAUUUCAAUAAAGCUUUACUUGUGGACACUGAAAUUUGAAUUUUAUAUCAUUUUCACAAGCCACAAAAUAAUUAUUUUGAUUCCCCCCCACCCUCAAUCAUUUAAAAAUGCAAAAAUCAUUCUUAGUUUAUGUGUGGUGAUAGACAGGUGUUGGGCUUGAUUUGGACCCAGUGCCAUAGUUUCAGACCCCUGGUUUAACUGAACUGAAAGGUAAUCAGCUCUGCAAAGCCAUUAUUACUGAAGGAGACUCCCCCUUUUUUCCCUUUGACGUUUCUUCUUUGCAGACAGAACACUGAUAAGUAGCAAGAGCUUUCCUUCCCUUAUCCAGCCUCCCUGCCUGGCAUCCUCAACUUCCUUUCACCUUCUCUCUAGAGCCUAAGAAUAGAAUCUUUACUAAACUCGCGGGGGAGAAUGUCUCCCUUUUCCUACAACCCUUGAACAGCCACUUAUCGUCAGUCUCCAGAUGUCUUGCACCCAGGACACAUGCUUCCUGUUUAUGACAAGCUGCCUAAGAAGGGGCAAGAACAGGCUCCAUUUCUAGGCGUAAAAGGGUAGGAUAGACGUGGAUGGAGAAAGAGUGGCUAUCCCGGA
This 1127-nucleotide long non-coding RNA is filed under the name Homo sapiens (human). RNAcentral describes it as "HSALNT0185132". The record is from RNAcentral. Lineage: Eukaryota; Metazoa; Chordata; Mammalia; Primates; Hominidae.